AUUGAACGCUGGCGGCAGGCCUAACACAUGCAAGUCGAGCGGAUGAAGGGAGCUUGCUCCUGGAUUCAGCGGCGGACGGGUGAGUAAUGCCUAGGAAUCUGCCUGGUAGUGGGGGAUAACGUCCGGAAACGGGCGCUAAUACCGCAUACGUCCUGAGGGAGAAAGUGGGGGAUCUUCGGACCUCACGCUAUCAGAUGAGCCUAGGUCGGAUUAGCUAGUUGGUGGGGUAAAGGCCUACCAAGGCGACGAUCCGUAACUGGUCUGAGAGGAUGAUCAGUCACACUGGAACUGAGACACGGUCCAGACUCCUACGGGAGGCAGCAGUGGGGAAUAUUGGACAAUGGGCGAAAGCCUGAUCCAGCCAUGCCGCGUGUGUGAAGAAGGUCUUCGGAUUGUAAAGCACUUUAAGUUGGGUGGAAGGGCAGUAAGUUAAUACCUUGCUGUCUUGACGUUACCAACAGAAUAAGCACCGGCUAACUUCGUG
Molecule: ribosomal RNA, 484 nt
Filed under: uncultured bacterium
Lineage: Bacteria
Description: partial 16S ribosomal RNA
Rfam family: Bacterial small subunit ribosomal RNA
Source: RNAcentral